UGCCAGCAGCCGCGGUGAUACGGAGGAUGCAAGCGUUAUCCGGAAUUAUUGGGCGUAAAGCGUCCGCAGGCGGCUAGAUAAGUCUGCUUUCAAAGAGUGGGGCUCAACCCCAUAGGGGGAGUGGAAACUGUUUAGCUAGAGUAUGGUAGGGGCAGAGGGAAUUCCCAGUGUAGCGGUGAAAUGCGUAGAUAUUGGGAAGAACACCAGUGGCGAAGGCGCUCUGCUGGACCGAGACUGACGCUGAGGGACGAAAGCUAGGGGAGCGAAAGGGAUUAGAUACCCCUGUAGUCCUAGCUGUAAACGAUGGACACUAGGUGUUGCGCGUAUCGACCCGUGCAGUGCCGUAGCUAACGCGUUAAGUGUCCCGCCUGGGGAGUACGCACGCAAGUGUGAAACUCAAAGGAAUUGACGGGGGCCCGCACAAGCGGUGGAGUAUGUGGUUUAAUUCGAUGCAACGCGAAGAACCUUACCAGGGUUUGACAUCCCUCGAAUCUCUGCGAAAGUGGAGAGUGCCUUCGGGAGCGAGGAGACAGGUGGUGCAUGGCUGUCGUCAGCUCGUGUCGUGAGAUGUUGGGUUAAGUCCCGCAACGAGCGCAACCCACGUUUUCAGUUGCCAGCAUUAAGUUGGGGACUCUGGAGAGACUGCCGGUGACAAACCGGAGGAAGGUGUGGACGACGUCAAGUCAUCAUGCCCCUUACAUCCUGGGCUACACACGUACUACAAUGGUUAGGACAAAGGGCAGCGAAGCCGCGAGGUGGAGCAAAACUCAUAAACCUAGCCUCAGUUC
RNAcentral lists this ribosomal RNA (788 nucleotides) under Phormidium sp. BTA222. RNAcentral describes it as "bacterial SSU rRNA". It matches the Rfam family "Bacterial small subunit ribosomal RNA", at positions 506 to 1294 of the family's 1533-position model. The record is from RNAcentral. Lineage: Bacteria; Bacillati; Cyanobacteriota; Cyanophyceae; Oscillatoriales; Oscillatoriaceae.